RNAcentral lists this long non-coding RNA (20313 nucleotides) under Gossypium barbadense (sea-island cotton). RNAcentral describes it as "long non-coding RNA (GBAR_LNC012882)". The record is from RNAcentral. Lineage: Eukaryota; Viridiplantae; Streptophyta; Magnoliopsida; Malvales; Malvaceae.
CAGAACUAACAGGAAGGAUGGAUGGUCCAAGGGUUUUUGCUCUUGCUAUAAAUACAACAUUUGCCGCUUCAUAUCGUUGUUUGUGUUUUUUUUUUUCUAAAGGAAAAUGUUAGGAGCUAGUUGGAAUAUGUUUAAGGAGAUUCAAUGCAAUUGCCUCUUUGUGAGGGCUUUUACAACUUGAUUUUGCCAAGCUUCGUGAUGGUAAAUAAUUGGGUGUUUGGGUUGUAAUUUCAUGCACUGUCAGCUUAUGAACACUAUCCUUAGUAAAGCAUGUCAACAUGUUAGUGAGAUGGGUUUACAUAUAUCUUGAUAUCAAGAAACAGCAACCUUAGGUUACUUCGCAAAUUUAUUCUGAACUCUCAAUCUAGUCUCAAAAUGAUAAAAAAAAUUACUGUGUUCCGACUUGAAAAUGACAUAUUAUCUGCCCAAUUAUGAUAGAUACGUGUACAGUAGCGUAUACCUGAUUUCCUUUACGACAUGUGCGAACGAAAUCUUUGUGUAGUAAUCGUUAAUCCGAUUCCUGAUUAUAGUGAAUCUCUUGUUAUCAUAUAUCACAAAUUCAGCACUUCCCAUAUUAUCACAUCCGUAUUCUUUCCGGUUCUCAGAUCACCUCUUGUCCGUACCUCCAGUUCAAUCUGUUAUCAUUUAUUUCUGUCGAUUCUUUUUUGGGUAUUUGAAUCUCCAUGGCUAAGGAAAAACCAAUUUCUUCAACAACUAAAAGAAGCUACUGGAGAUGGAGCAAAACGGACUUCUUCCCAGAAACCUCGUUUCAAACCUUGUCAUCUUACAAAACAGCACUUUCCCAAACCUGUCCUCGUCUCAGUGACCGUCUCUUAGCACGUUCCUCCUCCACCGACGAGCUUGUAACCCUUCAAAAAGUAAGUGAAAACCCCAUGCAAAAAUGUCUAACCUGGUGGGACCUCAUUUGGCUCGGCUUUGGCUCUGUUGUUGGUUCUGGCAUAUUUGUCAUAACAGGUCAAGAAGCUCACAAUAAUGCAGGUCCAGCUAUUGUUUUGUCCUAUGCUAUAUCUGGGCUUUCAGCAUUGCUAUCUGUUUUUUGUUACACUGAAUUUGCAGCCGAGAUUCCUGUAGCUGGUGGUUCGUUUUCGUAUCUUCGUGUUGAACUAGGUGAUUUCGUUGCAUUUAUAGCUGCUGGUAAUAUUCUUUUAGAAGCUUUAGUCGGAGCUGCAGGAUUAGGAAGAUCAUGGUCUUCUUAUUUUGCUAGUAUGAUUAAGAAUGAUUCAGACUUUUUGAGAAUUAAGGUUGAUUCUUUGCCUGUAGGAUUUAACCUUUUAGAUCCACUUGCUGUUGUGGUACUUUUGGUUGCUAAUGGGAUAGCAAUGAGCGGAACUAAGAGGACGUCUUGGUUGAAUUGGAUUGCUUCUUUGGUUAGUGGUGCGGUGAUUGUCUUUGUUAUAGUUUUCGGGUUUAUUCAUGCAAAAACUUCAAAUCUGGAACCGUUUUUUCCUUAUGGGAUAGAAGGGGUUUUCAGGGCCGCUGCUGUGGUUUAUUGGUCUUAUACAGGUUUUGAUAUGGUGGCAAAUAUGGCUGAGGAGACUAAGAAACCCUCUAGGGAUAUACCAAUUGGGUUGGUUGGUUCCAUGUCUGGAAUUACGGUGGUUUAUUGCUUGAUGGCUUUAGCAUUGACCAUGAUGGUGAAGUAUACUGAGAUUGAUGUAAAUGCUGCAUAUUCUGUUGUUUUUGAACAAAUUGGGAUGAAUUGGGCCAAGUAUUUGGUUAGCAUAUGUGCACUUAAGGGAAUGACAACAAGCUUGUUGGUUGGAUCUCUUGGGCAAGCUCGAUACACAACUCAGAUUGCUAGAGCUCAUAUGAUUCCUCCUUUUUUCGCUUUGAUUCAUCCCAAAACUGGAACUCCUGUAUAUGCUACCCUGCUGGUGACUCUGAUUAGUGCUAUUGUUGCAUUGUUCUCUAGUUUAGAUGUUUUGUCAAGUGUUUUGUCUUUCAGCACACUCUUCAUUUUUAUGCUAAUAGCUGUUGCAUUGCUUGUGAGACGAUAUUAUGUGAAAGAUGUUACUCCGAAGAAUGAUUUGGUAAAAUUUCUUAUAUGCUUAUUCAUUACUAUUGGUUCCUCAAUUGGAGUUUCAGCACUUUGGAAUUCAAAUGAGAGAGGAUGGCUUGGGUACACUACGGCUGGAUUGUUAUGGUUCUUCGGGACUUUGGGAAUGGCAUUUCUUUCCAAGCAGCGUGUUCCAAAGGUCUGGGGAGUUCCACUUGUUCCUUGGUUGCCAUCUUUGUCAAUUGUGAUGAACUUGUUUCUCAUAGGAUCUUUGGGUCUUACAGCAAUUUUGAGGUUUAUCAUUUGCAGUGCAGUAAUGAUAGUGUACUACCUGCUUGUAGGUCUUCAUGCCACUUAUGAUGUGGCUCACCAAAAUGAAUUAAGUGCCUAAAACUGAAGAGGGUAAAUAAAGCUGUAACCUGAAGAACAAUUAAUGCAGUAGUGAGUGGGACAGAUUUUUUACUAGUUUAUAUAAAUUUCUGGUGUAAUAUACCGCUUUCAUUUCAGCACUUUUUUCACGCUUUCUUGUUUUCUUUUACUCAACUCUGUCUAUUCUCCAUCCAUAAUGUUUCCAAAACUGCAAGUAUAUAUUUAAAAAGCACUCUGCCAAUUAGGAUUUCUAUUGCUUGCCCAUUCAAUUGGGGAACCUGUUACUCUCCCAUCAUAAUGCUUUCUAGAUUAAUUGCAAUGGAUCUCUCUCUCUCUCUCAAUGAAUACCUGAUCUUACAUGACUUAAUACAUUGUUGUAGGUUUAGUUUUCUUGUGAUCACUACAGUAUUAAGACCAUCGGAUGUAGCUAUUCUGACAAAAGUUUCAACAGGUGCUGCUGUAGCUAUACUAAUCUCAUGCAGGUUAACCCAUUAUGACCAUGUUUCACGGAAUGGUGUUUUAUUAAAUAAUAUGUCAUUAGACUUGGCACUUUGAAUCUGUGAUGACUAUGCUCUAGUGCUAACCAUGAUGCAUAAAGAGAGGAGAAUUAAUCGAAUGACAUCUUUUCAGCUUCAUCUAGAAAAAUUGGCUCGAAUCAUUUUUAUCUGGUCUGUCUUCUCUAUUGGAAAUGACUGCUCUUCUACUAGCUAGAUUCCUCUUGAAAGAUUCGCAAAUGAUGGACUGCAAAACCACGUUGUUUAUAUUGUCCUGCCUCCCUAAAUUAGAUCCCUCAUAACUGCAACUUCAUUUGCUUCCUCGCUGGUUUUCUUGCUUGGAUACCUCAUUGGGGUUUUAGAUUUACUUGGACUUCCAUAAGUAAUUUGCUUAGGAGUGUUUCUAACUUGAAUUUUAAUGGUUUUUUACCAGGGCAUAGUCUUGUUUACUGUUUUUUUUUUUUUGUAUUUAUAUUGACAUUUUGGGGUCUAGCACCAGCAGGUCUGCACCCUUUGCUAUUUUGGUAAUUGGGGAUUUCACCGUCUCAAUAGCAGCUAUUGCGAAGGCUUGUUUGGUGUUAUUAUGUUUUAGCCAUAUCUUGACUUUAUAAAUUGAUCCUGCAGUAUUCUUAUAAGUUCUUUGCUUCUAUUUUAGUGAUCCUGGAAUAAUCUCUCAUUUUGUUACCAUGGAACUUAUGGACCCCUUGCUAAUUUUUUUUUUUUUUUUAAAACGCUAUAUAAAUUGCAAGAGAAAAUAGAUAAAGGCUUCAGAUUUUAUGGCUAGUUAGCGCUGCUGAACUUGAUCCUAAAAGCAUAGUUGACCCAGCACAAAGCAUUGCGAGUGUUCUAAAAGUUUCUUCUGGUAAAUGGUGAUAUAUAGAGCUGAAAUGCAUUUAGUAUAUAUAUACUUUUCUUUUUCAGCAAACAGUAGACAGUAGAGACUCAGUCUAGAAGUAAAUUUGUUGGAUCUCUACAUGUUAUCAGUGUUGUGGAGUUUUAAUGAGAACUGGAACCCUGUCUGGUGGUGUAACAUAUUUUCUGGUGGUUUAGAUGAUUAAGAUACUUUUAUUGAUCUUACUCAGGAUAUUGAUUGACAUGUUUUGCUACUUCUGCAGUACUAGUUGGUUCUCAUCUUGAAAUUCAUGCAAGAAUUAAUGGUUCUUGGAGAAGGAUCUCUUAUUUUGUUCUCCAGCUAGUGUGGAGGAAGACUAUUAGUUGCAUGUCAUGAACUAUACAAGAAAAUGAAAUGGUCCCAUUCUGGAAAGAACAAUCAGUGAAUUCUGAAUUUUCAACAUUCAGCUUUAAUAUAAAUCCACAUAUGAAGCCUCCUUUGUUUAAACCUCCACUUUAGUGGUCUAGCUUAUCUUUGAUUUUAACGUUUCUACACCAAUCAGUUGUGUAUUUGUUUAUAUGAAACUGAUCUUUUUGAGAUGCAGACAUGCAGUCAUCUUCCUGGCAUUAUUUUUUGCGGUUUGAAAAAUAUAACAUAUAGCCUCAGGCUGGCCAUAUAUUUUGUUCUAUUUCAUCAGGGAGUUUGGGGAUAGGCGAAGCUAUCCAAGUUAAUCCACUGCUUCAGUCGAGCAUAAUUUUAUUUAUACGUACUUGGUUCCGGUCAAGGUGUCGGGUAAUUCUCAUUAUUGUUUCUGUUCUCCUUGAGCUAGUCCAUGCUGUUAAAAUUAGUACAAUGUAAUCAUUCAUUUAGUACAUGUGAAAUUCAUUCUUUGUAGUACAACUUCCUUUUUUUGACUCUUGAAACUCACUUAGGAUGACAAGAAAAUGGUCCCUCUACGGAUGCCCUUCUACAUAGGAACAAAGAACUGAAGCAUGAAUCCCUGGUUUAAUUGCAUUCCAUAGCAUUUAAUGAGAUUUCUUUUUCUAAAAUUUAUAGCAGCAGUUGAGAUUCAUAGAAUUUGUCCAUGCAUAAUGUUCUUAGGAACUCUUGUGAUUAAUUAUCUUAAACCUUCACGUAACGUGAUUAUGUAAACAUGGUUUUUUCUGUAUCUGAUCCACCAGAUACUGAGGGGAGCCACUAGAUGUUGUACCGAGCACUUUAGCUAAAAAUAAUCACUAAUCUUCCCAUCAAGGUUUUACUUUAAGUGCAAAAAAAUUCUAUGCGUCAAACAAUCAUUAAUGACUGAAGAGUUCUUUUCUGUAAGUAUUCGUACAGUUGUUUUUCCGUUGCUUACUCCUGUAAGCAUAAUAUCAUAAGAAUAGUGAAAAGUAAAAAUAAAAAUAAAGUAGGGCGUGAGCUGUUGUUUAGUUCUGCAAGUGUACUUCUUUUGCUUGCCAACAAGAAGAGCGAAUGACGGAAUUUGUAACACUUUAGUCUUGAGUAGUUUUCUAUUUAGUUUGAGAUAUUUAGUACAAAUAUCUAGUGAGGAAAAUAUCGAAUACAUGAACGAAACUCGAGUAGAAAAAGAAGAAAUAGGACAAGGCUCUAAUAUGUGUAUCAAGUCAUAGUCUUUAAUAUUAUAUUCGCCCCCACUAAUCUUCGGUGCGUAAACAAGUUUCAAGCAAGUUUCAAGCAAAUUAAUCUUGAGGAUACAAUAAAGCCAAUGACUAUUUACAUUUUGUACCGAUAAGAAUAAUCCACUAAACAUUGAGCAAUAUAUAAUCUCAUUCCUAUCUAUAGGAAUUUUUAUGUUUAUUCAUAGAGACAUCUUUCAAUAAUUGUUUUUAUAAAUAAAUAUUUAAAAAUAUUCCAACAAGAUAUAGGGGGAUGAACUUAAAAAACUGUAAGGCUUCUUCUUUCCCAUACCCCAACCUUCCUCUUCCUAUCCUAUGGAUUUUGGAAACUGGAACAAACUCUUGAUUCUAAUGCCUAAUAUCCUAAUUAUUCUUUCUAGAAACUUUAUGAUUUGUUCAGCAAGCGAAAAAUUAAUCCGACAAGAUAAGACGAAAAUGCUUCCUUAUCAGUUGAGAAAGUUUAUGGUAAAUGGUAGUCCCCCAUUGUUGAUAUAGUGCACUUGACUGGUAGGUUGAAUAGGUGUUAGUGGAUAUCUGUUGAACUCAUACUGUUCUAUCUUUAGCACUGUUUCUUCAGACCUUGAAUGUGGUUCCUUUCUUUUCACUAAGCGUGUGACACUAGAUCUAGAAAUUUUGGACACGACAGGAAAACACACACACUAAAAUACGAUAAAGAACAUGGCAAGACACGAAACACUAACAUGAACAUGACAGGAAUUGACGAAUAUAUCAAAAUCUAUAUAACAUGAAUUGUUAACUUGUCAAAAUUUAUAUAACACCUUAAAUAUGAUUACGGCAUAGGAAAAUAACAUGAAGAUGACACUAAUACACGGGUUGCUUGGUCUAUGUGAAUUACUUUCGAAGGUACUAAACUGGCAUACUGAUAUUUCAUAGACUGUUGAAUUGAUUGUACGUUUACGGCUGCACUAUCAGUGAUUAUAAUGAUAUUGAGUUGGGCCUUUCAGAUUUUGUUUCCUUCAUUACGCAAAAACUCAAGGGCUCUUCCAUGCUGCUGCAGAUUUAGUAUCAUAUAUAGAAUAUAAUUGCAAUUAUGGCUACACCACUAAUGAAUUUUCAAUUUGGUUAUGAUUUCGGUUUAGCACUAACCAUGAUACACUGUUGAUAGAUGGGAUUUGACUCUAGUGCGGCUAGUUCCUUGAGGGUUGGCAUGUACACAAACUACUCUAUCUUGUUAUUCUUCCUCCACGAAGAAAUUAUUAUGUUGAGCUGGUAAUUGGGCAAAGCUUGAACUGCACCGUGUGGCUGUAAAGUGCGCUGCUCAUUCAACAUUCAUAGCAUCUGUCAUGUAUGUCAGUUAGUGACUAUAAUUAAAGUUAUUCUUGAUGGAAUGUCUUGUUCAGUCACUGUUGUUUCGUUUUAUACAUGGGCUAAUUGAUGUAGAAACCGGGAGGGCAAAGAUAAAAAAAGAAAAAAAUAUGAGAAGGGAAUAUGGAAGUUUACUUUUUACUUUUACCGUGUGUUCCUUCUUAUUCAUUGAUGUGAUGAAUGAGUGCUAGAUAUGUGGUGGCUGCACGUCAGAAAGUUGGGAUGUGAUUGAUUCUGAAGUCAGAGAAUAUAAAGGUUUGCGAAUUGCAAAUUGCAACUCGUGCUUAUUUUUAUAGCAUGCUGUCUCUCUUAAGUCCUAAUGGUUGUGUUGAAUUUCUGUCUGAUUUGAUAACUGAUCCAAUGGCAUUGGAGGUUCUUUGUCUGCACGGAAGGCCCUCUAUUUCUGUCAUCUUGCUGCCAUAAAUAUUGAAACCUUUUAAUGCACUUAUUCAAAUAGAAAAAAAAAUACUUAUCAUGUGGUGGUAACUUAAACCAGAGCUUUGAAAUGCUAUAGUUGGUGAACGGUUUACAUCUUCAUCAUUGAUCUGCACUUUAUGUUGCUAAUGCUAGGUUCUCCAUGCAUUUCAGAAAUGAAAUUUUGACUUUCUUUCUUGCAUGUCCUUCCACAAUACAAGGGAUCCUUGGAUGGAUAAACUUUCUUCAUAGUGAAACAUGGCUUUCAACAUGGUUAACUUUGAAAUCAGGAUUUAUUGGCUUAAUGCAGCAAUUAUUGAUUCAUUAAUGCCCAUCUUACUCAGCUAAGUGGUGAUUAAAGUCCAAGUCAUGUCAUGUCUUAUCAGCCUGCUGCUUUUGUGAUGCUUGACCAUAGAACUAGGUGAAUGAAUGAUCAAAGAAGCAAAUGUUUUAUCUGAUAAAUUUAUGUUAUUCCCAAUUCAGGGUAUUAUAUACAUUUGAUCAGUAAUGAGAUGUAAAAGCAAGCCACCACUUGUAUUUUCUUCUUAGAACCAUUUUUCAUUCAUGGAUGUUGCCAUGCAGUGAUUGUUUAAGGUGAAGAUGGAUCAUUUUGCACCACUCCCUCAACUUCAUCGGGUUCGGCAAAAUCCAACACUUAUCUAUUUCUUUUGCACUUCCUUUUUUUAUUUUUUUUUAUUUUCAUAGCAAAACAUUGUACGAAAAAAAAAGUGAUUGAAUCUCUAAAAUAAUAUAUGGAACCUUUUUGUUAUUCAAAUUUGUAAUGAAAUUCAGAAAUUCAUUAAAGUUCAAUAAGAUAAAUAUGGUAAUAGGUUGUCAAAAAGAGAAUCUUUACACUUUCAACUCAUCUGACUAACCAGUGAAUUUGUAACUCAAUUUAAUCGAUUUAUGCAACCGUCCUUAAAAGUUGGUUUUUAAUAGAUUGGAGAUUGGACUUUUAAUUCUUUUAUUCUUAGAUUGCUGCCUCCUUUGUGCCAGUAGAUAUAUCAAUUGUGGAUGAUGUUGUUUGACUAGCCUUUAAUGGUACAGUUGGUGUGCAUGAAUUUUAAACUGACUUAAGAACCAAAAAACAGAACCCAAAAGUUUUGAAGGAGAAAAAGGAAGGAAGAUAGAACGGUAAGAUGAAGUGGGUAGCCACUCACUAUAAUAAUAAUAAUAAUAAUCCUGACACUUUUUUUUUCUGGUCUAUUUUCUGUUGAAAUUUAAAAGAAAAGAAAAAGAAAAAGAAAAUCUUUAUAAGAUUCACGUGAUAAAGAAUAAGAAAAAAGCUUCAUAAGCAUCGUUUAAAAUGUUUUGGAUAAAACUCAAAAAAGAACAGAAAUUGUAGAAAGUUGUGUCCCCCAAAGAAAAUAAAAUAUUUAUAUUCACACAUACGGAAAAAGAUUGACACACACAAAAAGAGGUUCCAAAAGAUCUUCUGAUUUAAUAUAUAAAAAUGUCGGCUCACGCGAGCAUGAAGCUUGUUUUGACUAACUAGAUCUUAUUCGUCUUUUUCAGGGUUUAUUAUUAUUAUAUAAUUUUACCUGCUAUAUAGAUAUAAUUGUUAUAAGAUAUAAGAAAAAUAAUUAACUUGUAAUAGAAUAUAAAUAAACAAUAUCAUUACAAGAUUCGAAUUUUAUAUAUACAUCAAAUGAAAUAACCAAGUUUGCUUCUUGUCCUAACUCAAUCUUCCAACUAAUGUUCAAACACAUUUUGGAACAAGAUUGGAUAAUCUAGACAAUAGGAAAAGAAGGUAAAGAGAGAAAUAGAUGCACAAGCUUUGUUAACAUAACUUAGAUAAUAAUUUUAUUUUGUAGAGUCUUACAUAGUAAAUGUUUUAUUCAACAAUCCAUCUAGAAAUUUAUUGUCUAAAAUCUAAUCUACCCUUACACAAGAAUCAAUUGCAACCCAAUAGAUAUCAUUGACUUGUUACAAACAAUCACCCAAAUCACCUCACUUACUACAGUUUUCAGCUCUUCAAGAAAAGCCUAUAUAAAGAGUGCAAAAUAAAAAAUGAAUGUUAGUAACAAUUACACAAGAAAAUAGAGCAAAAGCACAUACAUUCGACACAUGCAUCAAUGUUGCCUGUUUAUAAGUAAAAAAUGACAACUUCUUUAAUAACUUCGAGUAGAUAAAACAUCAUUUGAAUUGAAACAUUAUCUAAGAUAAAACCUUUCGUUUUGAAUUUCAAAUAAAGGUUUUUAUAUACAAGUAAAACAAUCAAAUUGGUCUCUAAGUAAAAGGAUUAAAAGAUAAGGAUAAAGCUUGAGAUAAGAAUUGUUGGAACAUUUUUCUAAAUAUAUAUAAUGUUUGAAUAGUUAUAAUCGAAAAAUUAUAAGUGAUCCAAAAGUUACGUUACUUUUAUUAACCAGGAGUUGUCACUAUUCAUGGUGAUAAGUUUUGCCUAUUCUUACUAAAAGUUACAUCACUUAAUUAAUAACAAAAGGUCAUAAUUAUUCAAGUAGACAUAUAUUGAAUAAUUAUAUUUAUUGCUAAAAGAUGUAACUAUCUAUUUGGAUAGUUAUGUCUCUAUGAAGAGACAUGAGAACUCCUAUAAAUAUAAGUCAAAUUUCAUUUGUUGGACACCCUAAAUAUAGAAACUUUUGUUCCUUUUGAUUUUUCUCUAUAUUCUAUUAUUCUUAGAUUGCUCUAUAAAGAAUUACAACAUAGAUUCUUUAUAGAAAUUGAUACUCUUGCUAUGCUUAGCUCAAUGCUCAGUGGAUUAUUUUUGCUAGCGUAAAAUGUCGACAGUCAUUGGGUUUUAUUGUAUCCUUUGAGGUUCACUUGCUUGUAACUCUUCUACACACCUAAAUAUAGGUAGGGAAAAAUAGAACUUUAAAGAUAGUGGCAUUGAUACACACCUUGAAGCCUUUCUUAAUUUCUCAUAAGUUUAUUUUAUCCCAAAGCUCAAACAAUUUUAAGGUUCUGUUUUCGCAAAUUCUAAGAAAUUAAUGAAGGCGAGUUUGUACAAGUAUGGUACUAUGAGGAUGGAUAUCGAAAAAUGUGGUUGCAUCAAGUCAAUGAUCUUGUCAAAUAUUAAUUUAGAAGAAAUCUUUAUCCUGAGAAAUUGCACAUCAAAUUUAUUGUUUUACUUGUGUUGCAUGAAUUAGAUUUCAAAGGUUAAGUUAUAUUGUAAUUAAUAUAUUAUGCAAAAAGUAUGAUUGUCACGUUUAUUAUUUAUUUGAUAGGAAUCAAAUGCUAGUUUAUCAUUUACAUAAUAUUUUAAUAUAAUUAUUUUUGGCAUAAAAUUAUAUAAUAUAUAUUAUAUCCCAUGCAAGAAAGAAAGAAGAUGGAUGAAAUAAAAAUACAAGAUUGGAAAAAGAUCUAUCAAUGGAUUGAUACGAUAAUUUUGUUUCGAAUGGUGAUGACAUUGUUCAAACAUUAGUUGAAAAUAAUUCUAUCCAAUAAAAGCAUUAUGUCCAUUUUGGAGAGUCUUCCCAAACCAAAAAGUUGCAUUAUUGAAUCUAACAGUUACUUUUAAAAGGUUGGAUUGGAAUGGUUUCUUGGAGCCAAAAAGUGCAAUUUGAAAAGUGACAUCAUUUUAAAGAGUCACUUAGGCACCUAUUGAUGCAUUCUAAAUAGACAAUAAGUUUAAAAAAUUGAAAUUUAAUUCAUUCCAUCCAAAUUGUGAGUGAAACUUUUUAGCACAAAAGUAUUGUUUCUUUUUCAUGAUCUAUAUUUAAAUUGAUAUAUGAAAUUAUUUGUUUAUUUAAAUCAUGUUAUUAGUAACCAAUAUUUCAAUGUUAUUGAUGAGACAUUAUUUAAGUGUAUUAAUUGAUAAAUGAUACACAAAUAAAAGUUUAUCAAAUGAUCAUAUAAUGUGUAACACCCUAAACCCGAUCCAACAAAUCGAAUCCAAAUCUUGGGUGUUACUACUCAAGUACAUUUGUAGCUCACUCAAUUAUACAAAUCUACACUCGAUUACAAUUGUUUAAUUAUAAAUUUCUCAAAGAAAUACGUAAGUAUGAAUAAUACAAAGAAUUCAAUUGGUAUACACAAAGAAUUUAUUUACAACUAUGAUUGAAUUGAUGUCUUGGCCUAUUAUAAUUAUUUUGCAUACAAGACUUCUAUAAACAAUUCAGACUUGAACACGCCAACAAACUUGCUCUGUAUGCAUAAUAGCCCGCCUCCCACUUCUUUGGCGUAGCCCUGGCAUCGUCCCUCUAGGCGCAGAUCCUUAAGAGCUCACCUAAAACAUAACAUACAGAAAUAAGUUCGAGAGAACUUAAUGAGGCUAACACCAAUUACUUGAGUUGUACUUGCACAUUGCUUCUAAGGUUUUGACCACUAUCUUGUAGAUCUUAUCCUUCAAUUUGUUUAUGGCGAUUAUCUUUCCAUAAUUCCAUUCUUCAUACUUUAGAUGCCAUACCUUAGUUUGAUUCCUGAUUUACCUCUACACUUUUGAUACAUUACUCACACUCUUUCCCUUAAACUUUUAAUAUUCCUUCACCAUCCCCAUUUUAGAGGUCCAUACAGACAGAAUACCAUUGUUUUUCAUACAUAUUGCAAGUCAUCAUUUCCUCGAGAUUUCAUGAGUACUUUAGUACAUAGAUAGAAGGCACAUUUUUUAAAUUUACUAGAUGUAGCCCUUACCUACAUUUGCUCUUCUAGCCCAUUUAGCCUAUACUUUAAGUUCGCCAUAUGCUCUGGUGCAUUCCAAUCUUUCUGUUCUUGUCUUAAUACUAUGCAGUUUAUGCCAUAAUAUUUCUCAUGGAGCUCGCCAUAAAGAAAACUUAUUAGAUUAUCUUAUCGAAAGUGUAACAUGAUAUGCUACAAGGGCUUUUCCUUUAGAGUUCAUUAUACCUACCAUUCCUUCAAAGUUUGACAAACAUACUAUCCCUUUAGUGUUCGCCAUACAUAUUAUCCCUUCAGUGUUUGUUAGUAAUACCAUUUCUUUCUUUUAGGGUCUGUUACAGAGGCGUUCCCUUUUAUCAUUUAUGUGCACACAAAGGCGUUCCUUUCAUCAUUUACCACAAGGGCUUUCCUUUCCUUAGAUCACCACAAAGGCUUUCAAUUCAUAAAUUGCCACAAAAACUUCCAUUUUUUGGUGUGUUUAUGAUAGGGAUUCGCCUAGACUAACAUUUCGUGAGGUUUGCCCCUUAUUGUCUUGGGUCAUGUAGAGAACCCCCUUAGGUAUUAACCUUCAUUUAGUUCUUUUCAUAUGAUGCCAUAACCCACUAACUAUGUUCUUACACAAUAUGGUGCCAUGACCAUAGGCUUUUCCUUCUGAGAAUGUGUUUUAAAGUCCUGACAGACCCUUUUUAACUUCAUCGCGGUGAACUACCAUAGACUCACUUAACAGACCGUUUAUGAAUUAGUACUACUUAACAUAUAUCUCAUUUUACACGUCUCAGACAUGUUCUUACAGCAAUAUUUUCAACUUCAAAUUUCUUAUCACACACUCUAUAUCUGUCAGAUUCAUACAAACUAUGCAUGCAAACCUUAUCUAACAUUUAUAUGUCAGCAUAUUCAUCAUACCAUCCCUUUUUAGUUUUAGAUCACAGUUCAUACAAUCUUUGAUAGAAGCAUCUAGAAUGAACAACAUACAACAUACUAGAGUCGGCUUAGGGACUCACUCAACAACCAUAGAUAGUAGCUUAAACUUCAGAUCCAUCAUUUAAGUAGGGAUUGCAGCAACCACUGCCUUGUAAAACAUAAGAUCACCAUUAAAAAUUAUUUUAAAAACUUAUACAAUCAUCUUAUACCCUGAUAAUCCCUUAAAUAAAGUUUUACUUUUUCAUACAUUCAAACAAUUCUACUUGUAAGGCCAUAAGACUUACCUUAACAUAGAGAAAUCACUGAUAAAAUUUAGGGUUUUCAGAUCUAUCUUAAAAGAAUGCUUAUGUUUCCUCCGGCCUUAGUUUUCAAUGUUUUUGAAGAGAGAAAAAGAAAAACUCCCUUUUUUCAAACUUGAAGACCUAUUAAUAUAAUCUAAGUUUUUAUUGAAACUUGGCAAAUGUCGCAUCACUACUGAAUUGUCUUAUCAAAGUCAUAACUUCCAAAAACCCUAAUUGAGUAUUUCCCCUUAUAGUUCAUGUUCAGUUAGCUCCUAACUAGCUUACCUUGUAACUUAACUUGCACAGUUCCAUAGAAAAAGGGCGCAUAAUACAUUUGACAUGGACUCAAUCCUCAAUACUGAUUCACUUGAUCAUAUCUUUAUUCCAACAAAUCAUAGCAACCUGGCAUGAAGCUUUCAUCAUCUUAAACUCAUAACUGUAUCCACCAACUUUAUGCGCUAAGAAGGGCACUUAGGCAAAUACCACUCUGUCAAUCAUACUGCUUAAGGACUACGCCAGACCUUGUGCCUACCAGAAUCGGGGCGUUACAUAAUUUGAAUCAUCUUAGUUGAUUUAAAAUAAUCAUAAGAUAAAUGGGUUUUUAUAUAAUUACACAUUUUUUAGUUUAUGUUAUAAAGGUUAGACUAAAAGAGAUUUUAACUAGAAAUAAAAUAAGUCAUAUGCAAUAUGCACCAUUAAUUUCUUUAGUCAAGGUAGAAUAGUGGAAAAUCAUUAGUUGAUAUAAAUAAAAUCACUAUUAUGGUAUUUCUAGCGGAAAUGCAAAUGUGAAUUUGAUAUAUAUUUAAAAAUUGAAAUCAUGUUGUGCAUGUUUAUGAUGGUGAACAUGAUAUUUUAUAUACAUGGCUUGGAUACGAUCUAUAAUCUCAUGGUUCUAAAAAUUUGAAAUAUAGUGAAAUUUUGAAAGUACUUUAAAAGCUACGAAUUAAAGUUCUUAGGAGUACGUAAAUAACAAUAUUAAUGCUAUUUGACCCAUUUAGGUGAUGGACAUGGUUUUGAUUAUAGUCACAAAAUGACUAGUAAUGUGUAUGAUAAAAGGGUGCAUAAUGUGUGAUAUUAUUGUCAAAUGAUGGGAAAAAUGAUAUAUUCUAAUAUGAAUAUGUUAUAAAAAUAUAUGAAACGCCCUUGGUUUGUUGAGAAAAAACAUAAUGUUAUUUGAGUAUGCAUACAUGACAAGUUUUAAAGGUCAUCUAUUGACUAUGAAAAAAAAAAGAGCUAUAACAAAUAAGUUGUCUUGUUUUACCAAGAGAUUUAAGGCCUUUUUACAACAACUUGAUGAAAAACACAUGAUGUAUGGUUUCAUAUAUUUGAUUAUUGUGUAAUUUCUUGGGUAUCAAGAAAUAAAUAAAGUAGAUAAAUAUGAAACUAUAAUGGUAAGAGAGAUAAAGUGAUUAAUGUAAUUUGAUAAUAGUAAAAAUGAUAUCAUUGAUAACAUUCUUUUGCAAAAAAAAAAUGAGUAACUGAGCAUGGUAAUGAUAUUGGUCUUGUGAACUUUUAAGACGCAAAUAAAUAUAAAGUUUUACCAUGUGAUAUAGAAAAUUAACAUAGUUAAGUUGGAAAUUCGGGGAUGAGGUACAAGCCCAUAAUUUUGAGUUUACCAAGAUAGAAACUCGACUCAAUGCUUGGUAUAACAUCAAGUCUUUAUUUCAAUGAGAAAAAGUGCAUCAUAAGUAUGUAACUACUAUCAUUAUAAAAUAAUAUAUAAUAUAUCAUCACAGGAUAAAAAAUGCUACCCGUGAUGGUAAGGGGAAUGUUGAGUAAUAUACUCUUAGUACACUGAUCUGCUACAAAUCAUUGUAGCAGAUUAAACCAUUUUUCGUACUUAAGGAGCUCAUAUAAAAGCAAUUUAGCUAUCUUUUUACUUAGUUUUCAUUUUUAGUUCAUCGAUAAUAAAAAGUGUAAUUUGAGUCAUUUAUAUGACCUUAGGGGCCAAAGUAGGCCUAAAGGUAGGCUAAUGUAUUCAAUGAGUGUGUAGAACAUCAUUCGAAGGCAUAAGAACAUGAGACUAGCCGCAAUGUUCAACAAUGAGUGUCGAUGUAGCAACAUACUGAGCAAAACACUCAAAAAGAGCAAAAUGCCUUCAGUGUCGUGACAUAGCCAAAGGGUGUCGCAGUCUUAAAACCCAGUGGAACCGAAAGAACGCGAUAUAGCCUUGUAAUCAAGCUUCAGCUCGUAAACUUUCAUCAGUGUCAUGACAUAGGCCAGAGGGUGUCGCAAUACCGUCUUGACUAGAGAAAUUAAUAAACUGAUCUAUCGUUAUUUAGUGUAGCAGAUUAAACUAGUUUUCACAUUUAAGGAGCUUGAAUAUAAGCACUUUAGUUAGGUUUUAGUUAAGUUUUAAUUACUUUAUUUAAAUUCGAUGAAUUGUGUAACUUAAGUCUUUAUUGACCUUAGGGGCAGAAUGUGGCCUAAGGGUUAGUUAAUAUGCUUUGUACGUGUACAUGAGACCAUUAGAAGGUGUGCUAACUUGAUACUGGUCACUAUGUUGCAAUACGAAAAGUUGGAUGUCACAACAUAGAGAGAAUAAUAGAAGAAUUUCAAGACUGCCUUUGGUGUCGCAUCACAGCCUGAGGAUACAGCAACACACCUCUGAAAAUACCUUGAAGAUGAGCAUACUACCUUCAAUUUUGCGACAUUUAAACUUUUAGAAAAGAACCAGAGAAUAGCAUUUUUGAAGAAGAAUAAAAACUUCUUUCAGAACUAUUUUUACACAUAAAUAUGACCCAACUUGCUGGAUGGAACUUAAUAUGUGCCACGCGCUUCAAAAUUUUCCUUUUUUAUGGUCUACAGUUUCCAAGAGAAACAUAAAUGAGUACCCUACAUUUGCACAUAUUAGACUAGGCUAUCUAGUUUAUUUCUAACCAGGUUACUUUACAAUCUAACUAGCACAAAACAAACAAGAUGUAUACCUUUAAAAAUAACUCAUAUGAUACUUACCCUUUAUCGUUUAACAUAAUCUUUUCUUUUAAAUAGCAUAAUAUCUUGAAAUAAAAUCUUCACUUACUUAUAUGAUAGUUACUAUAUGUCCCAAACGUAUACGCCAUAAUAAUCAAUUUGGCAGAUUGCACUUUGCCAUACAAACUAUUAUACUACUAUAUGCCAAAAUCUUAGACUCGCCAAACCUAGGGUGUGACAAUUAGAUAAUGAGUUUUCAUGAGUUAAAGAGUGAAAACUUAUGCUAGUGUAAGAAAGUGAAGGAUAAAGUAAGAAAUACAUUUUUUUUCCAUUUCCAAUAUGAUUAUUAAAGGUUGUUUUACAUGGUUCCUUUAUGAACAUGAUUUUUGACAUUAUGUUUAAUAUGCAUUGUUGGAGAAUAAAGUGUUAACUUGUAAGUGUUGGAGCUUUGACCAAGAAAAGGGAAGCCUUGGAUUAGUAUUAUAGAAAGUUUAGAAGCUUUGCUCAUUCAAGAGAGGUAAGUUCUCAAGGAGCUAUCCUUAACUUGUUGGAUUAAUAUUGUUAAACCUUAGAGUUUAACUGGUUAAAUGUUAAUAUGUGAUCAAAUAGUUUAAUGAAAAUGAAUUUAGAAAUAAGUAUGAAUUUGCAUAAUCUUGGACUAAAAUGUGAUUUUGAAACUUAAUGUGCCAUUAUAAGAAAUUGAGAUUAAGUUUGACUUGAAUAGUGAUAGUUAGAGUUUCAAUGAAAUUUACUAAGUUAUGAAUAGAGGAAUAAAUUAUGGCAUCAGUGGAUUAUUAAAUGAUUUUGUCUUCAAAAUUGAAAAAUUGGAAAUUAAAUGCGUAGGCUUUUGUCUAAACAAGAAAUUGACUAGUAGGAAUAAUUUGGUGUAUAUGAAAUCUGUCAUUGUAUGUCAUCUUAAGAAACAAAAGAACUUGGUGUGAAAUAUUGUGUAAAUGUAGCUCAUAAAGCCUUGAUGAAACUUUUAUUAAUAUGUUUAAAGCUUAUGUGAAGUUAUGUGAAACAAAGCAUGAUAAGUCAAAAGUUGCAUAUGGAAAUCCUUAUUUAUAAAAAUGAUAUGUGAAAGUUACAUUGAGAUGCAUUAUAUAGAAAUAUAAAGACAUAAGUGCCUUAAUAAGUGAGUGAGUAUGUGUGAAUAAAUAUAUGUGUAUGUGGACAUGAUUCUGAUAAAUGAAAUUGAAAUUUCUAAACAAACUUUUCCCUAGUAGACUUAGAGAAGUAGUUAGGAUAGGGCUAGCAUGCCAAUAAGGAUGGAUAUGUACCUUGAGUUUUGUGCCUUCAGGCUAUGUAGUCACAUGCAUAUUCUGAAGCCUUCGGGCUUAGCACUUCAAUGUAUCUUGGUGUAGUGGAGGUCUCAUACUUAUGUGCGCUUCAUAGGAUGCCUUCGAGCCUUGCAAUUCAGUACAUCUUGGUGUAGUGUAGUUAUGCUUUCAUGAGCCUUAGUGUGUUAGGAGAGAUGUGAUAUGAACUUUAAAUAUUUGUUCGUUCUUUGCGUGGUGGACGAUUCCCUUGUAUCCAAGUAUCCUUCUACUAGUGUUUAUUAAGGGCUACACAUUAUAAGAGAAUAAAAAUAUAGAUAUGUGAAUACUGAAGCAAACAUGAAUCGUGAAAUGAAUUCUAAAGGCUACAAGUCAUAAGAAAAGAAAAUGGAAGCAUACUAUAUGAGAGUGUUGAAUGAAAUAUGAAAUAUAAAAAAGAUUCUAAGGGUUAAAAUUAACUCAAUUGAAUACUCCUAUAGUAUGAGUUAAUGUUGAAUCAUAAGAUUAAAUGACAUUAAGGGAUGAAGAAUGAGUUAUAAAUUAAUCUAAAUUAAAAAAGGAGUUUGAAUUCAUGAAAGGUAUAAAAAUGAGAGUUAGACCUGUACCCAUUUUAAUUUCAUUAUAUUGUGAAUUAACCCUUAUAGGCCCUCAAGGUAAGUUGACUAUCUUUAUUGAUUACUUACUAAGUAUUUAUUCUUAACGUGUUGUUGUUUCUUACGCAUAGACUUUACUAACAAUAACAUGAAGCCCCAACCAUUUCAGAAGGGUCCAUCACAUUUGCAAAGUUGAAGAGUAUGAAUUAAUACUUUGUUUUUGUCUCUUAUAGCAUGACAUAUUUGAGAGUGCUUUUGAACCAAUUUUAAGCUCUAGGGGAUUUAUUAUCAAUACUUGGCCCUUAUAAUAUUGUAAAAAGUCAAAGAAAAUGCAUUCAUCUAUAGUAAUAGAGACAUGUAUCAACACAACUAAGGACUUGUGCCGCAGCAAGUGCCCUUAGUCUAAGCCACUGCUUUGUUUUGUGUUUUUUUGACUUUUCAAGGUCCAUUUUGGGUCUUGGACACUUCUGAACACCCCUCGUGCAACUUUAAAAUGAUUUUAAAUUGUCUUUAAAAUCUUUUAAUUAUCCAAAACUUUGAUUAGUAAUUUUAUAAAAAUAUUUUUUUUUGAAAAUAGAAAAUAGCUGAUACUUUAUUGCUAUGAGAAAAUUCAACGGUUAUAGGCCUAGUAACCAGAAAUUAACAGCUGUAAACAAAACAUUGAUUACCUAAACGGUACAUUUAAAGACUAGACAAAAGAAAGAAAAAACCAUUAAAUCAACAGUACGAAAUGAACCGACAGAAAAUUAAAAAAAAAUGCAGGCUUGAGUCCCUUUCUCACUUUUGCUUGAAAAAUCCCUAUUUUAUCAGCCAAAUGAGAGACCGAUCUUCUUCUAAAAUCAAUCUAUGAAUUUCCGUCUCUGUUAACAACUCGAGCUCUUCGGACCAAUCCCUUGCCAACCUGUCCGGACUCUAUUUUACCAUUCACCGAUCGUUAACAUCUCGUCUUCUUUCGCAAUCUAUCAGUUCAACCACCGCAAUCGGCGCCUCCUCAAUCCAGUAUUGGGGACUUUCGUACUGUCUUCCUGCUCGUGCCAUUCUAUGAGCCGCGUGGUUAGCCUCCCUGGGUAUAUAUUCGAAGCUCAGACUUUUGAAUCUACAUGCUCUCCCUUUUAUUUAUCGAAUUAAACUACUUAUUUCGACAACUCAUAAUCAGAGGAUUUAAGUUUGCGUAUGAGAGUCAAUGCGUCUCCUUCCACCACAACGUCUUGGAAGUCCAUUUCCUCUGCCAUAGUGACUGCUUAUAGACACGCUCUUUCCUCCGCCAUAACUGGGUCUGGAACAUUCUCCCAUGGGAAGGUACAUGCAGCCAUAAUUAACCCAUCUUUAUUUUGCGCUAAAAUUCCUGAUACUGAUCUCCCUAUGUGUUGAUUAAAGGACGCAUCAAAAUUAAUUCUAAUAGUAUCAUCUUUUGGGGGUGUCCAUAUAUCUUUCUCCACUUCAUUUGCAUGUCUGGAAGCCUAUCCCAUAGAAUUAAUUUCUGCAUGAUAAGCCCUAAUAAAAGCUAUUAUUCCAUGAACUGAUUCUCUGAAACCUUCGUGAUAGAUCUUGUUACGAUUAAACCAGAUAGCCCAGUAGGCGAUUGAUCUAAACGUAUUCAUUUCUGCAUCUUGACUUUCAACUAUUUGUUCUAACCAUUUUUUCCAAUUGGGUUCUGUAUUGCAUAUUGUAUCUACCACACCCAUCAUUCGCAAGACCUGCUAUGACAAGGGGCAAUCCCGAAACAAAUGGCUCAUUGUUUCCUCCUCCAACUGACACACCGGGAAGAUUGCAUUAUUUACCAAUUUUCAAGUUCGUAAGUUUUAAGCUUUAGUAAAAUUGUAACAGCCCGUUUUUAAUGAAAUCGAAACAGUGGUUUCGGGACCGCAAAUCCAAGUUAGAAAGAAAAUUUAUUUUAAUAUUAUUGCAUGGUUUGCAUUACAAUAGGGAAGACGUAUGAAAAUUUCGAUAAGAAAAUUUUACCGAUUUUGUAUUUAAUUAUAGAAAGGACCAAAUUGUAUGAAAUGUAAAAGUUGAAUUCUAGUAGCUAGAAGGAUCAAAUAGCCAUGGGAUUCAAAAAUUGAGGUCCUUAUAUGGCAAUUAGACUAUUAAGAGAAAUUAGUAGAUAUUUUUUAUGAUUCAUCCAUAGAAAAUUAGAAAAAGAAAAAGACUAAAUUGGAAAUUAAAAUAAAUAAAAGAUGAUAAAUAAAAUAAAUAUCUAAUAUCAUCAUUUUAUAUCAUCUUCUUCCCCAAAUUCUAUAGAAACCCUAGGAAAGAGAAAGUAAAUCAAGCAAGCCUAAUUGGGUAAGUAAUCAUGCCUGUUUUCAGUAAUUUUUAUAUUUUCGACAUCUUAACAACCUAAUCUAUCUAUUUUGGGGAUUAAUUUGUAAAGUUAUCAAAGUAUAAAAAUUUUUCCAUGAAUGAAUAUGCUGAAAUUCUUUAAUUUGUGGUAGAAAAUGAAAGAUUAUUGAUAAAUAAACAACUUUUGUAAAGGAAAUUUUGAUGAAAUUGUGAUUUAGGGACUAAAUUUUAAAGACGUAAAUUCAUAGAAAAUUUUUUAUUUUUGUGAAAUAAAUGGGCUGUAAAUGUUAUAUGUACAAAUUGAUUAGGCUUGGAAUAAGGAUUAAAUUGCAUGAACUUUAUUUUCCGAACUUAGGGAUGAAAUUGGAAUUAAUCAAAAGUAUAGGGGCA